AUUAAAGUUGCUGCAGUUAAAAAGCUCGUAGUUGGAUUUCGGUUAAUAAAGAAUUUAUGGUCCACUUUUCAAAGUGAGAACUAAAAUCUUUAUUUCCUUCCUUUUGGAAUAACUCCCGAAAUUAUCUAAUAAUUAGGGUAUCAAGUAUUCCAAAUCUUUUACUGUGAAGAAAUUAGAGUGUUCAAAGCAGGCGUAACCAAGUCUUUGAAUAUAUUAGCAUGGGAUAAUGAAAUAGGACUUUGGUUCUACUUUCGUUGGUAUCUAGGGCUGAAGUAAUGAUUAAUAGGGAUAGUUGGGGUCACUAGUAUUUAAUUGUCAGAGGUGAAAUUCUAAGAUUUAUUAAAGACUAACUACUGCGAAAGCAUUUGACAAGGAUGUUUUCAUUAAUCAAGAACGAAAGUUGGGGGAUCGAAGAUGAUCAGAUACCGUCGUAGUCUCAACCAUAAACUAUGCCGACCAAGGAUCCGGGGGUGUUAAAUAUGGAUGACUCUCCGGGCACUUAUAGAGAAAUCAUAAGUAUUUGGGCUCCGGGGGGAGUAUGGUCGCAAGGCUGAAACUUAAAGGAAUUGACGGAAGGGCACCACAAGGAGUGGAACCUGCGGUUUAAUUUGACCCAACACGGGGAAACUUACCAGGUCCAGACACAGUGAGGAUUGACAGAUUGAGAGUUCUUUCUUGAUUCUGUGAGUGGUGGUGCAUGGCCGUUUCUAGUUGGUGGAGUGAUUUGUCUGGUUAAUUCCGUUAACGAACGAGACCUUAACCUAUUAAAUAGUUAAUCUUGAACAUGGUGUUAAAACCAUUUGUUUAAUUAACUUCUUAGAGGGACUCUUCACUGAGAGAGUGAAUGGAAGUUUGAGGCAAAAACAGGUCUGUGAUGCCCUUAGAUGUUCUGGGCCACACGCGCGUUACACUGACAUAUUCAACGAGCUUUAUCCUGACCCGAUGGGGUUGGGUAAUCUUUUAAAUGUAUGUCGUGCUGGGGAUAGAUCAUUGUAAUUAUUGGUCUUGAACGAGGAAUUCCUAGUAAGUGCGGGUCAUCAACUCGCGCUGAUUACGUCCCUGCCCUUUGUACACACCGCCCGUCGCUCCUACCGAUUGAAUGGUCCGGCGAGAACUCAGAAUGGUUGCUGUUUGUACCCAAAAGGUUUCAACUGUUUCCAGAUUUUGUUCAAACCUUACCAUUUAGAGGAAGGAGAAGUCGUAACAAGGUUUCCGUAGGUGAACCUGCGGAAG
Molecule: ribosomal RNA, 1233 nt
Filed under: metagenome
Description: SSU rRNA
Rfam family: Eukaryotic small subunit ribosomal RNA
Source: RNAcentral